Molecule: microRNA, 21 nt
Filed under: Pan troglodytes (chimpanzee)
Lineage: Eukaryota; Metazoa; Chordata; Mammalia; Primates; Hominidae
Description: ptr-miR-596
Gene: ptr-miR-596
Source: miRBase by way of RNAcentral
AAGCCUGCCCGGCUCCGCGGG